Molecule: ribosomal RNA, 274 nt
Filed under: uncultured bacterium
Lineage: Bacteria
Description: partial 16S ribosomal RNA
Rfam family: Bacterial small subunit ribosomal RNA
Source: RNAcentral
AUACGGAGGGUGCAAGCGUUACUCGGAAUCACUGGGCGUAAAGCGCGCGCAGGCGGAUUGGCAAGUUGGAUGUGAAAGCCUGCGGCUCAACCGCAGAACUGCAUCCAAAACUGUCAGUCUAGAGUCUGUGAGAGGUAGCUGGAAUUAGUGGUGUAGGGGUAAAAUCCGUAGAGAUCACUAGGAAUACCGAAAGCGAAGGCGAGCUACUGGAACAGUACUGACGCUGAGGCGCGAAAGCGUGGGGAGCAAACAGGAUUAGAUACCCCGGUAGUCC